This is a small nucleolar RNA of Nannospalax galili (Upper Galilee mountains blind mole rat), 214 nucleotides long. NCBI's taxonomy places the organism in Eukaryota, Metazoa, Chordata, Mammalia, Rodentia, Spalacidae. The record is from Ensembl.
AAGACUACACUUUCAGGGAUCAUUUCCAUAGUUGUAACUAGAGAAGUUUCUGACUGUGUAGAGUACUAGAAACCAUGAGGAUGAGAUGCAGUGUUCCCUCCUGAGCGUGAAGCUAGCUCUUGAGGUUGCUUUUUUGCAACUGCCUUUAGCCAAUGAUGAUUGUUCUUCUCUUCCUUUGGAAGAGUUAAAGGGAGGGAUCACAGUCUGAGUGAAA